Molecule: ribosomal RNA, 497 nt
Filed under: uncultured bacterium
Lineage: Bacteria
Description: partial 16S ribosomal RNA
Rfam family: Bacterial small subunit ribosomal RNA
Source: RNAcentral
GAUGAACGCUGGCGGCGUGCCUAAUACAUGCAAGUCGAGCGAACAGACGAGGAGCUUGCUCCUCUGACGUUAGCGGCGGACGGGUGAGUAACACGUGGAUCACCAACCUAUAAGACUGGGAUAACUUCGGGAAAACGGAGCUAAUAACGGAUCAUAUAUUGAACCGCAUGAUUCAAUAGUGAAAGACGGUUUUGCCGUCUCUUAUAGAUGGAUCCGCGCCGCAUUAUCUAGUUGGUAAGGUAACGGCUUACCAAGGCAGCGAUGCGUAACCGACCUGAGAGGGGUAACGGGCAAACUGGGACUUAGACAACGGCCAGGCCCCUACGGGGAGGAAGAGUAGGGAAUCUUUCGAAAAGGGCGGAAGCCUGACGCAACACCGCCGCGGGAGUGAAGAAGGUCUUCGGAUCGGAAAACUCUGUUAGUAGGGAAGAACAAAUGGGUAAGUAACUAUGCACUGCUUGACGGUACCUAAACAGAAAGGCACGGCUAACUACGUG